CCACCGUGAGUUGGAGUGAGUGGGUCGUUACUUGACCCAGGAAAGUCCCCGAGCCCAAUUCUGCAGAAAUGCAGCCCUGGAAACGGGGUCUCUUCGUGCAUCGAGUCUUCCCUGCCUUGCGCAGGGGGGGCUGAGACGCGUGUGGAGCCUUGACCUGAUGCCGAAGUAACUUGGCCGAAUGCUCUACAGUUAUUCACUCGGUUCAUAUUAGUAUGUGGACCAACAGAACGGGGCUUAUGAUUCAUGGUG
Molecule: non-coding RNA, 249 nt
Organism: Populus trichocarpa (black cottonwood)
Lineage: Eukaryota; Viridiplantae; Streptophyta; Magnoliopsida; Malpighiales; Salicaceae
Source: Rfam